GAUGAACGCUGGCGGCGUGCUUAACACAUGCAAGUCGAACGAAGCACUUUAUUUGAUUUCCUUCGGGACUGAUUAUUUUGUGACUGAGUGGCGGACGGGUGAGUAACGCGUGGGUAACCUGCCUUGUACAGGGGGAUAACAGUUGGAAACGGCUGCUAAUACCGCAUAAGCGCACGGCAUCGCAUGAUGCAGUGUGAAAAACUCCGGUGGUAGAAGAUGGACCCGCGUUGGAUUAGCUAGUUGGUGAGGUAACGGCCCACCAAGGCGACGAUCCAUAGCCGACCUGAGAGGGUGACCGGCCACAUUGGGACUGAGACACGGCCCAAACUCCUACGGGAGGCAGCAGUGGGGAAUAUUGCACAAUGGGCGAAAGCCUGAUGCAGCGACGCCGCGUGAGCGAAGAAGUAUUUCGGUAUGUAAAGCUCUAUCAGCAGGGAAGAUAAUGACGGUACCUGACUAAGAAGCACCGGCUAAAUACGUG
Molecule: ribosomal RNA, 481 nt
Filed under: uncultured bacterium
Lineage: Bacteria
Description: partial 16S ribosomal RNA
Rfam family: Bacterial small subunit ribosomal RNA
Source: RNAcentral